GCUUCUGAGAGAGAUCUGUGAGGCUGUGCAAACAAAGCCAGCCAUUCAUUUCUUCUAUGCUGCGGAGGCCAGUUUGGCAGCAGGUGCCUGACAACACUACGACAGAGUAACUGAAAGCCUGGGACAGGUUUCCUCACGGUGAUGUUUAAGGAAAGUGAGAGAACAGCUCAGUACAGAGCAGCGGGCAGUUCUGAGAGAAAGUAGCCUCCGAAGACAGGACAAAAGCGAUCACGGUUGGGGCUCCCGCACGGUUGCACAAAGCUGGGCAGCUCACUUGACUCUGCUCAACUCUGGGCUUGCUGUCUGAGUCUCCAGCCACCCCCUGGCAGCCCCUCAACAAGCUCAGCACUUGAUUCCUACAGUGUCCAUGCCAGCCUUCUGCCUGCCCUGCAGGAAAGCCUCUUUGGAGCAACUUGGACUCUGCUAUACUAUAUUUAAGGCUUUGCAGAUAUCCUGUGACCUACAUGUAUUGUAUGUCAUUGCAUUUGCUGUGUGAUGUGUGACUGAAGAGUUCACAGUUGUAAUUAAGAUGGAAAUAAAGUAACUUGUGUUUGCCAGUUAAGGGCAACAGGAUUCUUUUCGCAAGUUGCAACCAAUGAAAAUCUCUAGACUAUGAGUUUAUUGUUAUUUACA
This is a long non-coding RNA of Mus musculus (house mouse), 633 nucleotides long. RefSeq annotates it as predicted gene, 35307. The record is from RefSeq and is a predicted model, not a curated record. The transcript is spliced from 3 exons. NCBI's taxonomy places the organism in Eukaryota, Metazoa, Chordata, Mammalia, Rodentia, Muridae.